AGUUAGAAAGCGAGUGGGCAAGAUACUUAGGGUGGGUAAUGGAAAGAGAAGAACAAGCGGGAGUGAAAGGAUUAGGAGGAGGGGGUUUAAGAGA
This 94-nucleotide non-coding RNA is filed under the name Paramoeba aestuarina. The record is from RNAcentral. Lineage: Eukaryota; Discosea; Flabellinia; Dactylopodida; Paramoebidae.